This 49-nucleotide unclassified non-coding RNA is filed under the name Drepanolejeunea madagascariensis. RNAcentral's name for it is "trnL-trnF intergenic spacer". Lineage: Eukaryota; Viridiplantae; Streptophyta; Jungermanniopsida; Porellales; Lejeuneaceae. The record is from RNAcentral.
CUAUAAUGGCAUGGCGGCAAAAUUUUGUUCCAAUUUUAUAAAUCCAAAU